This 253-nucleotide ribosomal RNA is filed under the name uncultured bacterium. Its description in RNAcentral is "partial 16S ribosomal RNA". It matches the Rfam family "Bacterial small subunit ribosomal RNA", at positions 524 to 776 of the family's 1533-position model. The record is from RNAcentral.
UACGUAGGGUGCAAGCGUUGUCCGGAAUUAUUGGGCGUAAAGAGCUCGUAGGCGGCUUGUCGCGUCGGCUGUGAAAACCUGGGGCUCAACCCCGGGCCUGCAGCCGAUACGGGCAAGCUAGAAUUCGGUAGGGGAGACUGGAAUCCCUGGUGUAGCGGUGAAAUGCGCAGAUAUCAGGAGGAACACCGGUGGCGAAGGCGGGUCUCUGGGCCGAUAUUGACGCUGAGGAGCGAAAGCGUGGGUAGCAAACAGG